AGAGGGGAGCGAGCGUUGUUCGGAAUUACUGGGCGUAAAGGGCGCGUAGGGCGGCCUUGUAAGUCUCGUGUGAAAUCCCUCGGCUUAACUGAGGAACUGCACGGGAAACUGCUUGGCUUGAGUUCGGGAGAGGGAAGCGGAAUUCCGGGUGUAGCGGUGAAAUGCGCAGAUAUCCGGAGGAACACCAGUGGCGAAGGCGGCUUCCUGGACCGACACUGACGCUGAGGCGCGAAAGCUAGGGGAGCAAACGGGAUUAGAUACCCCGGUAGUCCUAGCUGUAAACGAUGAGUGCUGGGUGUAGGGGGUAUCAACCCCCCUGUGCCGAAGCUAACGCAUUAAGCACUCCGCCUGGGGAGUACGGUCGCAAAGGCUG
This 373-nucleotide ribosomal RNA is filed under the name uncultured organism. RNAcentral's name for it is "partial 16S ribosomal RNA". It matches the Rfam family "Bacterial small subunit ribosomal RNA", at positions 526 to 896 of the family's 1533-position model. The record is from RNAcentral.